Molecule: long non-coding RNA, 1190 nt
Organism: Poecilia latipinna (sailfin molly)
Lineage: Eukaryota; Metazoa; Chordata; Actinopteri; Cyprinodontiformes; Poeciliidae
Exons: 3
Source: RefSeq, a predicted model, not a curated record
AAACAUUUAAAAUGUUUUUUAUUAUUAUUAUUUACAUGUCUAAAAUGUUUGGAUAAACAGUUCUAAACUUGUUGUCACAAAAUUUACCUAAUGGGUUUAAAUUGGUCAUGGUUCAUCCUCCAAUUUGUGCCGUUAAAAAAAUUAUAAAAUCCACUGUAAUUUUAUUAAUCGCAUAAUUUUUUCCAACAAGUACAAAUUUCAUAGUCAGUUGCUGAGCAAACAUGAAUGUGAUCAAAAAAAUUAGCCCGGGUAAAUCAUGAAACGUCCUGAGGAGGGUAGUGUUUGUUUUAAGGUGGCGCCGCGGAUGGCGAGCACGUGAAACUGCGGGAGAGAGCAGCGCGUGAACGCCAGGGACCGAGACGUGGGGUCGAACACGCGGGAUCUACUUCACGUCCAACUGGGGGAACUCAAUUAACUCAAACGUUACCGUGUAACUUGAAGUUCCCUCAAACAAUAAAGGCCUCCUUUCAGGACGAACAGAAAGUCCGCGGUGCCUCCUUAACUGAGUGCUGGCACUUCAGAGUGGGGAGUGCAAAGGAGAGGGUCAGAAAGACUGGUGGGUGGGGAUAAAGCCCUUUUGGGAGUGAGGAGGGGUGGGGGGAACUAAAAAAGAAAAAAAGAAAAAAUCACGUGUUUGGAGAUCAAAGGAGAUCCGCUUUGUAGAGGAGGAGGAGGAGGGUGAGAAAGAAAGAGGGAGGGAGAAAGCGAGGCAGCGUUGAGGCAAUGUAAUUGACAAGGCUCGCAGUGGUGAAAUAAACACGCUUCGGCGCAGGGGCUCAGCUUUUAUUGCACAAUCCCGACUCCCUUUUUUUUCUUUUUUUUUUUUUUUUUGGGAGGCAUCGCCCACAGCGACUACACCUGAUUCCAAUUACCUUCACCCGAUUAAUUAAUCCGUGUGAAAUUAUGUCCCGAUCGGCGCAGAUCAAGCCGGCAAGAUGAUGAUUUUCCUAAGGAGAGGCUCGGCUCGGGUGCCCGACUCGGUGGUCCCGGUGAUCUGGCUGCUGGCCGCUUCUCUGGGCGCCGUUCUCGCCAAGGAUACAGCCUUUGUGGAAGUGGUGCUGUUCGAGUCCAGUCCCAAUGGGGAUUAUACUACCUACACGACUGGCUUGCAGGGACGGUUCUCCGAAGCUGGAGCCACUAUCAGCGCGGAGGGGGAGAUCGUUCAAAGGCAUCCUUUUGGACAUGCAAAA